UGAAAGGUUAAAAAAAUUAUCUAAAGGAAAACUUAAUGAGAAGUUAGUAAAAUUGUAUUCAAUUAUUUUGAUUAUUAUGUUUAUUACAUGAUCUCCUUCCUAAUGUGCUAAAAGGGCAAAAAUAAUAGAUUGGUAUAUUUAAGAGACAUUUAGUAAUGAUUCUAGAAUUUUAAAGGGUUUUUAAAAUUGUAUAAUGCUUAAACUAUUUAAUUAUUUCUAUAAGACUAUGAAAUUGAUUAUACAAUAUAAAGAGAUCAAGUCAUUUACUAUUAUUUGGACACAAAUAGAGAAAAAUAUGGUGGAAACUCCGAAUAAGACUUUUGACAGGGCUUGUAAAACAGAUAAAGAUUGUCCUAAACUUCGAGGAGUUAAUGUUAGGUGUCGUAAAGAUCAAUGUGUAACGGUCUAAAAGACCCUAAUGAGAGAAAUGAGUUCUUUCUCUGGCAAGAUAAUUGUACAAUAUACAUUAUGCUAGAAUAUUCCACUUGUUGUCAUUUAAUUUUUGUGCAUGCUCUCAAUAACUAUUUUUUCUUCUUUUGUUCUUCGUAAUUUCAUGGACCUUGAUGUUAUAAUUUUGUACUCUAAGAUGAUAUAAAUGAUAUAAGGCAACAAAGAUUUUUAUUUA
This is a long non-coding RNA of Medicago truncatula (barrel medic), 625 nucleotides long. RefSeq lists it as uncharacterized. The record is from RefSeq and is a predicted model, not a curated record. NCBI's taxonomy places the organism in Eukaryota, Viridiplantae, Streptophyta, Magnoliopsida, Fabales, Fabaceae. The transcript is spliced from 2 exons.